UACGUAGGUGGCAAGCGUUAUCCGGAAUUAUUGGGCGUAAAGAGGGAGCAGGCGGCAGCAAAGGUCUGUGGUGAAAGACUGAAGCUUAACUUCAGUAAGCCAUAGAAACCGGGCAGCUAGAGUGCAGGAGAGGAUCGUGGAAUUCCAUGUGUAGCGGUGAAAUGCGUAGAUAUAUGAAGGAACACCGGUGGCGAAAGCGGCUCUCUGGCCUGUAACUGACACUGAGGCUCGAAAGCGUGGGGAGCAAACAGG
RNAcentral lists this ribosomal RNA (252 nucleotides) under uncultured bacterium. RNAcentral describes it as "partial 16S ribosomal RNA". It matches the Rfam family "Bacterial small subunit ribosomal RNA", at positions 524 to 776 of the family's 1533-position model. The record is from RNAcentral.